This is a long non-coding RNA of Pungitius pungitius (ninespine stickleback), 790 nucleotides long. RefSeq lists it as uncharacterized. The record is from RefSeq and is a predicted model, not a curated record. The transcript is spliced from 4 exons. NCBI's taxonomy places the organism in Eukaryota, Metazoa, Chordata, Actinopteri, Perciformes, Gasterosteidae.
GAUGCACAGGAAAUAUGGGGCAGAUUGGAUAAUAAAACCACAUUGAGGUCGUUCACCUAAAUGUUCUCCUCUCAAAUUCCUUAAGAGCAUCUUGACUGAAUUUGAAACCCAUCGCAUUAAGUCUGUAGAAGGAGUUGGUUGAACAGCUAAAAACGAUGAAAAACGUAAAUGUAAAAAGGAAAUUGGCGAUGAAUAUUCAAGUCACAGAAUAUUAUUCCCAAUACAAUCCUAUCAUGUGACAUGUAUAAUGGUUGCUGUUCAGUAAUGUGAUGGGGGAUAGAAUACAUCUUCCAUCAAUCAAAUGACCAGAUGGAAGUGAUAUCGUUACAUUAUACAUAAAGGUAUUUCCCCGAUAGGACCCCUGGUGCUGUAAUGACGUCACUAUUUAGCUCAGGUCGACGAGCGGCCCUGAUGACGCGUCCAAGAUGGCCGACAGGCCCCUGAGCUGUAACUUCCGCUGCCCGACUGUUCGUGACGAUGGAGACCUGAUGGAUGAAAGGAGACUGACUGAAAAUGUUGGAGGAGCAGCUGGAAAACAACAAGGUUCAAGACAAGCGGACGGAGGACGAAAUGAACAAAGCUGCUGAAUGAGCAGAGACACUUGAAGGUCCUGGAGGAGACGAGGAGGAUGGAGGAACAUUUGGGCGCAGUUUCCAGACCUGAGGACGGCAGGUUUCUUCUUCUGCUCUGCGGUUACUCUGAGAAGUAACUUUGACAGUUUGGGGGUGGUUCAGCUUUUGUCAAAUGUUUGCUGUGCAGCUGAAUUUUAAUAAAGAAUAAUGUAGCAUAA